CUGCAAGCCUCCAGGUGCCGGGCUCUGGAGCGACCCUGUGCAUUCCACGGUGCUUGCAAGGACAUUAUGAAACAGUUUGAGGCCUUGCCCUGCUCCAUUCAGAGCCAAGUUCUAGGAAUUUCAAAAAUAA
This 130-nucleotide small nucleolar RNA is filed under the name Sorex araneus (European shrew). RNAcentral's name for it is "Small nucleolar RNA SNORA9 (ENSSARG00000015533.1)". It matches the Rfam family "Small nucleolar RNA SNORA9". From Rfam's summary of the family: ACA9 is a member of the H/ACA class of snoRNA that guide the sites of modification of uridines to pseudouridines. Lineage: Eukaryota; Metazoa; Chordata; Mammalia; Eulipotyphla; Soricidae. The record is from RNAcentral.